AAAUAAAAUUUUUAUGUUUUAAGAAAUUUAUUUGAUACUUAUUUUACAUAUAAAUUUUAGUAUGUAAUUAUGAUUAUUUUAAUAAUAAUUAUAAUUUAUAGUAGUAAUUAAUUUUAAUAAUUUAAGAAAUUAUGAAUUAGUAAUGUAUUAAUUAUUAACAAAUUUUGUGCCAGCAGUUGCGGUUAUACAAAAAAUAAAAUAAAUUUUAUUAGUUAUAAAUAAAUAUUAAAGGAAUUAUAAUAAAUAUUAGAUUAUUAGGUGAAAUUUUAAUUUAAUUAAAAUUUAAUUUGUGAAAUUAUGAUUUUAAAAAUUUUAUGAAAAACUAGGAUUAGAUACCCUAUUAUUAAAAUUUAAAAUAAAAUGCUAAAAUAGUAAAUAAUUAUUUGUUGAAACUUAAAUAAUUUGGCGGUAUUUUAGUUUAUUUAGAGGAAUCUGUUUAAUAAUUGAUAAUCCACGAAUAAAUUUACUUAAUUUAAUAAUUUAUAUAUCGUUGUUAAAAAAAUAUUUAAAAAUAAAAAUAAUAUUUUAAAAUUUUAAUUUAAAAUUAAAUCAGAUCAAGAUGUAGUUUAUAAUUAAGAAUAUAAUGGAUUACAAUAAAUUUAUUUAAAUGAAUUUAAAAUUGAAAAAUUUUAUUGAAAGUGGAUUUAAAUGUAAUUUUGUUUAAUUUAAUAAAAUGAUUAAAAAUUAAAAUAUGUACAUAUUGCCCGUCGCUUUCAUUUACAAAUUGAAAUAAGUCGUAACAAAGUAGAGGUACUGGAAAGUGUUUCUAGAAAGAU
This 776-nucleotide non-coding RNA is filed under the name Plutella porrectella (Dame's rocket moth). The record is from RNAcentral. Lineage: Eukaryota; Metazoa; Arthropoda; Insecta; Lepidoptera; Plutellidae.